CAGUCGAACGACUCUGGUAUUGAUUGGUGCUUGCAUCAUGAUUUACAUUUGAGUGAGUGGCGAACUGGUGAGUAACACGUGGGAAACCUGCCCAGAAGCGGGGGAUAACACCUGGAAACAGAUGCUAAUACCGCAUAACAACUUGGACCGCAUGGUCCGAGUUUGAAAGAUGGCUUCGGCUAUCACUUUUGGAUGGUCCCGCGGCGUAUUAGCUAGAUGGUGGGGUAACGGCUCACCAUGGCAAUGAUACGUAGCCGACCUGAGAGGGUAAUCGGCCACAUUGGGACUGAGACACGGCCCAAACUCCUACGGGAGGCAGCAGUAGGGAAUCUUCCACAAUGGACGAAAGUCUGAUGGAGCAACGCCGCGUGAGUGAAGAAGGGUUUCGGCUCGUAAAACUCUGUUGUUAAAGAAGAACAUAUCUGAGAGUAACUGUUCAGGUAUUGACGGUAUUUAACCAGAAAGCCACGGCUAACUACGUGCCAGCAGCCGCGGUAAUACGUAGGUGGCAAGCGUUGUCCGGAUUUAUUGGGCGUAAAGCGAGCGCAGGCGGUUUUUUAAGUCUGAUGUGAAAGCCUUCGGCUCAACCGAAGAAGUGCAUCGGAAACUGGGAAACUUGAGUGCAGAAGAGGACAGUGGAACUCCAUGUGUAGCGGUGAAAUGCGUAGAUAUAUGGAAGAACACCAGUGGCGAAGGCGGCUGUCUGGUCUGUAACUGACGCUGAGGCUCGAAAGUAUGGGUAGCAAACAGGAUUAGAUACCCUGGUAGUCCAUACCGUAAACGAUGAAUGCUAAGUGUUGGAGGGUUUCCGCCCUUCAGUGCUGCAGCUAACGCAUUAAGCAUUCCGCCUGGGGAGUACGGCCGCAAGGCUGAAACUCAAAGGAAUUGACGGGGGCCCGCACAAGCGGUGGAGCAUGUGGUUUAAUUCGAAGCUACGCGAAGAACCUUACCAGGUCUUGACAUACUAUGCAAAUCUAAGAGAUUAGACGUUCCCUUCGGGGACAUGGAUACAGGUGGUGCAUGGUUGUCGUCAGCUCGUGUCGUGAGAUGUUGGGUUAAGUCCCGCAACGAGCGCAACCCUUAUUAUCAGUUGCCAGCAUUAAGUUGGGCACUCUGGUGAGACUGCCGGUGACAAACCGGAGGAAGGUGGGGAUGACGUCAAAUCAUCAUGCCCCUUAUGACCUGGGCUACACACGUGCUACAAUGGAUGGUACAACGAGUUGCGAACUCGCGAGAGUAAGCUAAUCUCUUAAAGCCAUUCUCAGUUCGGAUUGUAGGCUGCAACUCGCCUACAUGAAGUCGGAAUCGCUAGUAAUCGCGGAUCAGCAUGCCGCGGUGAAUACGUUCCCGGGCCUUGUACACACCGCCCGUCACACCAUGAGAGUUUGUAACACCCAAAGUCGGUGG
Molecule: ribosomal RNA, 1407 nt
Filed under: Lactiplantibacillus plantarum
Lineage: Bacteria; Bacillati; Bacillota; Bacilli; Lactobacillales; Lactobacillaceae
Description: bacterial SSU rRNA
Rfam family: Bacterial small subunit ribosomal RNA
Source: RNAcentral